RNAcentral lists this ribosomal RNA (708 nucleotides) under uncultured Gammaproteobacteria bacterium. Its description in RNAcentral is "bacterial SSU rRNA". It matches the Rfam family "Bacterial small subunit ribosomal RNA", at positions 66 to 763 of the family's 1533-position model. Lineage: Bacteria; Pseudomonadati; Pseudomonadota; Gammaproteobacteria. The record is from RNAcentral.
ACGGCAGCACAGCAGUAGCAAUACUGUGGGUGGCGAGUGGCGGACGGGUGAGUAAUGCAUCGGGACCUACCUGAACGUGGGGGAUAACGUAGGGAAACUUACGCUAAUACCGCAUACGUCCUACGGGAGAAAGCGGGGGACCUUCGGGCCUCGCGCGGUCAGACGGACCGAUGUUCGAUUAGCUAGUUGGUAAGGUAAUGGCUUACCAAGGCGACGAUCGAUAGCUGGUCUGAGAGGAUGAUCAGCCACACUGGAACUGAGACACGGUCCAGACUCCUACGGGAGGCAGCAGUGGGGAAUAUUGGACAAUGGGCGCAAGCCUGAUCCAGCAAUGCCGCGUGUGUGAAGAAGGCCUUCGGGUUGUAAAGCACUUUUAUCAGGAGCGAAAUACUACCGGUUAAUAACCGGUGGGGCUGACGGUACCUGAGGAAUAAGCACCGGCUAACUUCGUGCCAGCAGCCGCGGUAAUACGAAGGGUGCAAGCGUUAAUCGGAAUUACUGGGCGUAAAGGGUGCGUAGGCGGUUCGUUAAGUCUGUCGUGAAAUCCCCGGGCUCAACCUGGGAAUGGCGAUGGAUACUGGCGAGCUAGAGUGUGUCAGAGGAUGGUGGAAUUCCCGGUGUAGCGGUGAAAUGCGUAGAGAUCGGGAGGAACAUCAGUGGCGAAGGCGGCCAUCUGGGACAACACUGACGCUGAAGCACGAAAGCGUG